GACGAACGCUGGCGGCGUGCUUAACACAUGCAAGUCGAACGGAAAGGCCCUGCUUUUGUGGGGUGCUCGAGUGGCGAACGGGUGAGUAACACGUGAGUAACCUGCCCUUGACUUUGGGAUAACUUCAGGAAACUGGGGCUAAUACCGGAUAGGAGCUCCUGCUGCAUGGUGGGGGUUGGAAAGUUUCGGCGGUUGGGGAUGGACUCGUGGCUUAUCAGCUUGGUGGUGGGGUAGUGGCUUACCAAGGCUUUGACGGAUAGCCGGCCUGAGGGGGUGACCGGGCACAUUGGGACUGCGGUACGGCCCAGACUCCUACGGGAGGCAGUAGUGGGAAAUAUUGCACAAUGGGCGCACGCCUGAUGAAGCAACGCCGCGUGCGGGAUGACGGCCUUCGGGUUGUAAACCGCUUUCGCCUGUGACGAAGCGUGAGUGACGGUAAUGGGUAAAGAAGCACCGGCUAACUACGUG
RNAcentral lists this ribosomal RNA (468 nucleotides) under uncultured bacterium. RNAcentral describes it as "partial 16S ribosomal RNA". It matches the Rfam family "Bacterial small subunit ribosomal RNA", at positions 28 to 507 of the family's 1533-position model. The record is from RNAcentral.